Molecule: ribosomal RNA, 261 nt
Filed under: uncultured archaeon
Lineage: Archaea
Description: partial 16S ribosomal RNA
Rfam family: Archaeal small subunit ribosomal RNA
Source: RNAcentral
CAGCCGUAAACUAUGCGCGUUAGGUGUAUCGGUGACCACGAGUUACCGAGGUGCCGAAGGGAAACCGUGAAACGUGCCGCCUGGGUAGUACGGUCGCAAGGCUGAAACUUAAAGGAAUUGGCGGGGGAGCACCACAACAGGUGGAGCCUGCGGUUUAAUUGGACUCAACGCCGGGAAGCUCACCGGAUAGGACAGCAGAAUGAUUGCCGGGCUGAAGACCCUGCAUGACUAGCUGAGAGGUGGUGCAUGGCGUCAGUGACU